Camelina sativa (false flax) is the source of this 1115-nucleotide non-coding RNA. The record is from RefSeq and is a predicted model, not a curated record. Lineage: Eukaryota; Viridiplantae; Streptophyta; Magnoliopsida; Brassicales; Brassicaceae.
CUUGUGCCUCAGAGCUUGUUUAUCGGUCAGUUUUUAGAGGGGUUCAUAGUUUUUUAUAAGAAAAAAAUAAAUCAAAACUAAAAAGAAAAGGUAAGGGAGGUUGUUAUAUAGUAACCCGAUUUUGUUGUAAGAGACUCAUACGUGUUGUUUUUCUGUUGGACGAUAGAAUAAUACAAAAGAUAAAAAAAAUUGGCGAAGCUCGAUUUCUUUUUUCUCUGGCAAUCGAAUUCCCGAAACAACAAAGGGAUUUGGAAUUGAAGGAUCUAGAAUCAGAGGAAGGGUUUGGAAUCAAAGGAUCUGAAAUCACAAGGUAAGUCUGUCAGUGGAGGUUUCAGAGCACAACACCACAUCGCUGCCACAUCGACGGAGAUGUCAUCGCUGGAUGUGAAAGAGAGGUUAAGGAGGCCACAGAUUCUGGCGCUGAGGAUCGUAAGAAAGAGUGCUUAAUGCGAUUGUCCUGGGCUCUUGUUCAUUCCCGUCAACCCGAAGAUGUGCAACGCGGAAUUGCCAUGCUUGAAGUUUCGCAAUAAUGAUGAUGUCUGGUGAGGCUGUCAAGUACAAGAGUUCCAUGGACGCCUUGGCCAGAACCUCAAGAAUGAAGGAGCCAAGUUAUUCUUCAAGGGAGCUGUUGCAGGUGCUGGUGUGCUUUCCGGUUACGAUUAUAAUUGCAGAGAGAAUCAAGUCCAGCUUUUAUUUUGGUGAGAGGAAUGCAAGCUUGUGAAUCGAAAUAUACAAAACUGUCAUCAGAUUUGCAAAGGAGUUGUCUCUGAAUUUUUCGCAGAGGAUUUACAAAGUAUUGUCUAUUGCAAAUAAAACACUGAGCUCACUUGUAGGGAUGUAAUUGCAGAGGAUUUGAAGAAAGGUAUCAACACAUUCACUAACAAAAUACGUCAUUUGCAGAGAGCUAUUUCUGAACUUUUUGUAGGGAGAACCAAGCAUUUGUGGUAACGUCAUCAACAUGCAUUAUAGAAUAUGUUUUUCUUUGGAUAUCAAAUCACUUUUCUCAUUGAAACCUAUUUGUUAUUGGAUUUCUCUUGUAAAAAUGUAUCCAAAAUCUGUGUUUUGAUUUUCUAUUAGAAAAAGUUAUACUUUGAAUAACAGUUGCUUUUAUAUGA